RNAcentral lists this ribosomal RNA (328 nucleotides) under uncultured eukaryote. RNAcentral's name for it is "partial 18S ribosomal RNA". It matches the Rfam family "Eukaryotic small subunit ribosomal RNA", at positions 1470 to 1796 of the family's 1831-position model. The record is from RNAcentral.
CCCUUAGAUGUUCGGGGCCGCACGCGCGCUACACUGAAUGGAUCAACGUGCCUUUCCCGAGGCUGAAAAGUCGAGGUAAUCCGUUGAACCCCAUUCGUGACGGGGAUAGGAGCUUGCAAUUAUUCUCCUUGAACGAGGAAUUCCCAGUAAGCGCGAGUCAUAAGCUGGCGUUGAUUACGUCCCUGCCCUUUGUACACACCGCCCGUCGCUACUACCGAUUGGACGGUUUAGCGAGGCCCUCGGAUCGGUACCAGGACUCCGUCAGGAGUGACUGGCAACCGAGAAGGCGGUCGAACUUGACCGUCUAGAGGAAGUAAAAGUCGUAACA